ACGACUACACUCCUACGGGGGGCAGCAGUGGGGAAUUUUGGACAAUGGGGGCAACCCUGAUCCAGCAAUGCCGCGUGAGUGAAGAAGGCCUUCGGGUUGUAAAGCUCUUUUGUCAGGGAAGAAACGGGAGUAGCUAAUAUCUAUUACUAAUGACGGUACCUGAAGAAUAAGCACCGGCUAACUACGUGCCAGCAGCCGCGGUAAUACGUAGGGUGCAAGCGUUAAUCGGAAUUACUGGGCGUAAAGCGUGCGCAGGCGGUUGGGUAAGUCAGAUGUGAAAUCCCCGGGCUCAACCUGGGAAUUGCAUUUGAGACUGCACGGCUAGAGUGUGUCAGAGGGGGGGUAGAAUUCCACGUGUAGCAGUGAAAUGCGUAGAUAUGUGGAGGAAUACCGAUGGCGAAGGCAGCCCCCUGGGAUAACACUGACGCUCGUGCACGAAAGCGUGGGGAGCAAACAGGAUUAGAAACCCGAGUAGUCCACCAAUCC
RNAcentral lists this ribosomal RNA (486 nucleotides) under uncultured bacterium. Its description in RNAcentral is "bacterial SSU rRNA". It matches the Rfam family "Bacterial small subunit ribosomal RNA", at positions 327 to 805 of the family's 1533-position model. The record is from RNAcentral.